This is a long non-coding RNA of Daphnia carinata, 2108 nucleotides long. RefSeq lists it as uncharacterized. The record is from RefSeq and is a predicted model, not a curated record. The transcript is spliced from 9 exons. NCBI's taxonomy places the organism in Eukaryota, Metazoa, Arthropoda, Branchiopoda, Diplostraca, Daphniidae.
UGUAGAUUCAUCAAUUAGGCACUGCAUCAGCACAUGGUGUAGCCUCUGCACUGGUUUGGUUAAGUCUAAAUUAAAUAGAUAAAUGUAGAUAAAGUUAAGGAUAGGUAGGUUUAAAGUUAAGAGUUAAGUUACUUUAAGUAAGGCGUAAGCGUAGCCCACCUCACUUCGUUACUUUGGCACAGGUUACUUUAAGUAAGGCGUAAGCGUAGCCCACCUCACUUCGUUACUUUGGCACAACACCAUCUCAGCCAUUUUCUUUCACUGUGUUACCCAAUUUUUAACUGUAGUCGCCGUUCACAAACCAAUUUUCUACAAACAAUUGUACGUUUCUUCUUUUUCAGGUUUUUUUUCUCCAAUGUAACUGUAACUUGAGUAAUUGAUCCUGUUAAAAUUAAGUUGAAACUUGUUGCUGUUCAAAUAUUCAAAAAUUUCUUCUUUAUCUUUUGCUUCCUUGCAAUCACGAGGGCAAUCUUUGGGACCAAAGAGGACACUGGACAAAGAUCACCAUUGCAGCCACUGAAAUGUCGCCCUGGGUUUUGAGAUAUAUAUUUCCAAAUUUAGUAUCUGUUUAUUGUGUGCUAUGUUUUAAAUUAAUGUUGUGUACCUAGUAGGGCUAUAUUACUGAAGAGGACCUGUGAACAGUGAGGGUCACUGCCAAGAUCCUAGCCCAAAAUUGCAAGGAGGGCUAGCAACACCACCAAGGAGGAUUACUGGACCUCGGGAUUGCUGCUGAAGUUGCCAAAGAUUGUCAAGUAUUACCUUAACAAUCAGAUUUAUCACCAAGGUGGUCAACGAUAUUAACGAAGGAGUAUCCGUGGACAACGAGGUUCGCCGCCAGUCAAGAUCAUUGCCAAGCAUUUGUCAGGUGUUUACCUUAAACAUUGAAAUACCUAAUCAUAUUUGCUUUUUGUCAUUUUAGGAGGGUCUUUAGCACCACCAAGGAAGAACAACUAGGAUGGCCCAUGGGUGUACCAUUAUUUACUGCCAAUGUCUUCAAGAUGGAACCACGACACGACCGAGGGGGACACUGAAUAAUGUGUGUGUGCAAUCAAAAUAUAAUCACCAAGGCUUGAAAGGUAAAUAACCUUUAAAGUUUUAGUAUAUAACCUUGUGUUUUUGUGUGUAUUUAAGAGGGCUGACAGCACAAAUGAGGGAGAUUGCUGUACUCCGAGGAUCGUUGAUGGGCAUUUCGAAAUUAUCGUCAACGUCGUCAAGUUAUUCAUUUUCAAAAUCUUUAUUUGUUAUUUGUGUCUGUUGUUUUUUUGUUUUUUUUCAAUUUAAAUAGGAGAUCCACUACACUACCGAAGAGAACCACUGAACAAUGAGGGGAAUUAAGUAAACUUUACUUACCAGAAUGUUCGGAGGCACCAGAAAUUGUCAUCAGUGGUCUCAUGACAUAACCGAAGAACAUCACUAGACAAUUAGGAUUAUCGCCAACCAUUAUAAGGGGAUAUCCACUACACUGUCGAAGAGGACACCUGGACAACGAGGAGAAUCAAGUAAAGUUUACUUACCAGAAUGUUCAGGAGGCAUCAGAAAUUGCCAUUAGAUAAGUGGGCUCACGACAUAACCGAAGAACAUCACUGAACAAUUAUGAUUAUCGCCAACCAUUAUAAGACGGCUACAGAGGAGAGAUACCUGGCAUUGUGGAUGUUUAGCCCAGUACUUCAAGCUCACAAGAAGGGUGGAAAAUAGCAGAUGAAACGGGCACAUUUAAUUCCUUUUCCUUACCACUAUUUUCCAUUGAAGUACUGUGGGUUAUGGUUUCAACUUCAAUGAGCACGUAAAUUCACUACACCUUUGCACCGUGGUUCUUUUACUGCUUUUGUUAGCUAUAAUGUACAGGUUAGGGUUGUUUGUAUUUAGUUUAUGUAGUCCAGCUUGCAUCGGUAUCACACUUGGUGUUUAGUUGGUGUAUUUUCAUUAAUACUAAUUGCUUUCAACAUAAAAACAGUACAAAAUCAAUUGAUUUGAUUUGUGUCUACUUCUUUGUUAUGAAUAUGGAACAGUGGAGAAUAAAACAAUAACAAUUUAUAGUGGGUUAUCGGGUUGUUCACCGUGAUACGAUAAUUUGAUAAAUGUUUGACGGGGCAACAACCCGGCAUUCA